Nylanderia fulva is the source of this 325-nucleotide non-coding RNA. The record is from RefSeq and is a predicted model, not a curated record. Lineage: Eukaryota; Metazoa; Arthropoda; Insecta; Hymenoptera; Formicidae.
UCGACGCUCGUUUUCUGCAAUGUGAUGACGUCAUGUAAGUCGCUAGCGACGUGAAAUGUAGUUCGAUUUUUCCAACUACAAGCGAUAUUAGCGAGCGAUAAAGAUUUGAAUGGAUAUCGAAAUGUCUCGUGUUCAAACGUGUGGAUUAUGUGAAAUCAUAUGUAAUGAGGACGAAGUACCCAGCCAUGAGUGUCUUCAAGGAUAUUCUAAUUUCAUUACAGAUAAUAAUUUGUACUUUUACCCUGUAUUAGACGAUGGAGAAACUAUUGUUAGAAGAAGCUUGACACAGGACGCUGAAACAAUAGCAUCUGUACCUUUUUAUGGU